AAAGAAGAGUAAGGAAAUUAAUAAAAAAAAAAAAAGAAAGAUAAAGAAAGAUAGAAGGGUGGAAGAAGAAGAAGAAGAAGAAGAAGAAGAAGCGAGCAAGCGAGAAAAGGAACAUCGUUAAGCUUUGACUACUAUUUUUCCUAUACUUGGAUUCCUAUCACCCUGACUACUACAACUACUAUAUUACAUCGGGAAUUAGUUGGAUUUUAUUUUCAACGGGUUGUGACUGUCUACUCGCGUGUUAUACAAAUCCGUGCUGCUAUUUCAACGAGAUUCGAGAACUGUGAGUGUUUAAUCUUGAACCUGAUCAAAUUUGGAGUCUAUAUGGUUAUCCUUAGGAAAAGAAUAAAUAACGAACAAAUUCUUCGUUAUUAAAUCGAAGAAAAAGAAAUAAUAAAUCGAGGAUUAUAAGAAGAAAUAAGAAAAGAAGAAGAAGAAGAAGGAGAAGAAGAAGAAUAAGAAGAAGAAGAAGAAGAAGAAGAAGAAGAAGAAGAAGAAGUUGAAUAAGAAGAAAUUGAUUACAGUAGUACUGGCGAGGUAACGGAUUAAGCUCGCUCGAGGAAGCAAUUUUCUCAUGGGUGUGGAACGAUCCGGGAGAGGAGCGCGAUAUAUCUCGAGUGUGUGUGGGUGUCGCGGUCACUGCGGAGAGGGCUCGCUCGCAGUGGAUAGCGCCAUCAUCGUGUCGGCUGCCACGUGAAGCGCUUCCGAGACCUUUUUUGGUUAUCUAUUUUUCUUCCUUUCUCUCUCUCUCUUUCAUUUAUUUAAUCUCCCUCAUUUAUAAUCUUUUAUACGAAUAGAAUAAUAUUCUCUCCCUUGACUCUUAUUCCCGUACUUGUCGCAUCCCUUAAAACUUCACUUUUUUAAUUUACCCGCUUUUUUGGUGGAAAUUAGCAGUGAGUUAGGACUCGGAUUUAAAACGGGAACGGAACGAUACGAAACGGAACGGAAUCAAGCCGAACGACGGAAUUAAGCGGAACGGAACGGAACGGAACGGGAGGAGUGGACAAAAGAAGGAAGAGAGGAUAAGAGAGAGAGAGAGAGAGAGAUAAAAGAGAGAUCAAAUAUUAAGAAGAAAAUAAAAAUAUAUAUUAUCUGGAGUGUUCUUCGAUUAGUAGGACCAUUUGUUAAGGAAGUUUGAUCGUUGUGCUACGUCCCAAGUUGGAAUAUUUGUAUCCUUACGAUUCGACAAGGAUAAAAAUGAUUUUUUCUCUAUAAUUAUUAUCCCACUUUCUGUAAGGGAUUUUAGAGAAGUUCAAGAGAAAGAUUGGAAAAGUUAGGAAGAUUGAGGAUUAAUCAAACAAGUAAAGAAGGAAGCAAACAAGGAAGCCGUUGACCUCGCUGUCUGUCCUAUUGGAAGAUAAGGAAGCGGAUAUAAUCGAAGUAGGGAUUAACGAAGCGAAAAUCGCGAAAAAAGGAUAGAGAAAUCGAGCGAGUUGAUUCGAGCCGAGUCGAGUUGAGUCGAGCCGAGUCGAAUCGAGUCGAGUCGAGUCGUGUGGUGGCAGCCCAGUGACCCGUUUUCUCCCUUUACCCUUAAAUCGAUGUACUCCCGUGCCGUUUAGAAGGGAACGAAAACAAAACACGAGCUUUCAAAGACCCUUACACGCUCCUUCUUCGCUACUCUUUCUUCGAGGAUAUCGGAAACACGGCAACACGCUACCCGUGACCCCCUUUUUCAUUCCAAAUCGAUGUAGUUCUCGUUGAUCGAGAGAGUGUGCCAGAGAAAGAGAGAGAAAGAAAUAACGUUAAGAUUAACAAAGAUAGAUAGAUAGAUAGAUAGAUAGAUAAAUAGAUAGAUAGACGGAUAGCCAAAUAGAUAGAUAGAUAACAAAAAAAGGGAUAUAGAAAAAAAGAAAAACAAAUAAAGUAUUUGAAGAAAGUGAAUUUUCCUUUGACAAUCAUAAGAACAACAACGUCCCUCGACGUCGUUCCAUGCUGGAUCCGAGCGUUGGACCAGGUACGACGGAGAGGGAAGAGAGAAGAAGAAGAAUGCGAGAACCUUUUAAAAGUCUGUGAACAUGAUUUGUCAUACGGAUGUCGCGGGUGGUAAUCGUAAGACGAGCAACACCGACGACGAAGACGAAGACGACGACGGCGACGACGAGGACGAGGACGAGGACGACGAGGAGGAGGACGAGGACGACGAGGACGAGGCCGAUAACGAUUACGAUAACGACAAGAACGAGGAGGAGGAUAAGGAGAACGAAGACAAGGAGGAGGACAAAGAGGAAGACAAAGGAACGAAUUAUUUCACAAUUGAUACGUUUAACGCGUUGAGGACUAUUGUUGUUAUUAGAGAGGAAGAUAGGAUAAUAAGGAGAAGGAGAAGAAGAAGGAUAGAUAGAGGAGAACAAGUAGAAGAAGAAGAAGAAGAAGAAGAAGAAGAGGAGGAAGAAGAAAAAGAAGGGGAGGGCGUAACGUCGCGGGCGUGUUUGCGAGGGUUUGGUGAUAAGGUGGUGCGUUCACCGGGUGUCGGAUGACUCGGCGACGAGGGCUUAGAUAUCCCGUAGUCGUAGAAAAGGCGCGUUAUCCCGCGAUAAUAAUAAAAAUAAUAAUAACAGAAGGUGGUUAUAUAUCAGUCUUAUAUUCGAUAAGAGAACAUAGUUCGCGCGAGUCCGUCGCGUUAUCUCGUAGGCGACGUCGCCGGUGCGUUUUGGCGCUGCAUCAGCACCGGCCUCCUUCUCUUAGCCAGGCCGCUGCCCACCAUCCUGCCCACCAACACGUUAAACCCCGACCUCCCCCCCGUGCUGCACCCAACUCGCCCAACCUCUUUACACCGUGAUGGAGGACUUACCCGAUAUCUCGCACCUCACUCCCGAGGAGAGGCGCAUCAUCGAGGAAGUCGUCAUACGGCAAAAGAGGGAGGAGGAAAAAGAGAAUGAAAUUAUGAGACGAAAACAGGACGAGGUACAAGUCCUCGAAGAAACGAUACGAGCCCGCUCGGAAAAACACAAGAAGGCUGGGGUAGAACUUAAUGCAACGUGUCAAGUGUGCAUGAAAACCAAGUUUGCCGAUGGCAUUGGUCACAACUGCAACUACUGCCAUAUCCGGUGCUGUGCACGCUGCGGUGCAAAGAUCACUCUACGUUCGCGUAGGGAAAUAUGGGUGUGCAUCGUCUGUCGAAAGAAGCAAGAGGUCCUGACGAUGACAAAGGCUGGCCUCGGGACCGUGGACAAUGCGAUGCUGCCAAUGCGAAUGCAGGAGGACAUGCAGGUGGGUGGUCCUCCGGGACUCUUGGACCAAACUCAGGAUAAGAGGCCGAAACUCGAGAGGGCGCACAGCGCAGCCGAGAAGGAGAACCUGCCUUUGCUGCAAAGAAGCGGAAGUCUGCUCAAAAGGCAGUACUCCCAGCAAGAGCAGGUUCCACGUCGGGUGUCUACCAGCGAUAGCGGAGUUGAGAUGUCCGUUUCACCUCACUCGAGAAGUCUACCGACACCCCAAGUAGUCGGUUCGUAUCCUAUACCAAAAUCUCUGAGACAUCAUACCUUCGGCCCAGACGAAACUAGUCUGUUCAGGAGUGAAAUCGACGGUCUCAUGAGAGAACAUCAAAAAAAUUAUCCGAGGCAUCGACCGAUUUAUCAGGAUCAAAACUCUGAUUUUGCAAUGGCUUAUGGUCAACCCGGGACGGAAACGGGACCUUCGCGUGGACCAGUUCAUCCCUCGCAACAGCACACAGUUGUACAUCAAGCGCAAGGUACGCAUCCCUCACAAUCAGCUGUGGCAGGUCAGAGUACUCUUCAGCAACAAAGAAGUUACAGUAGCAGCGAGGAAGAACGGAGUACACCGGAAUGUGGGAGUGACGAGCCGGACGAGUCCGAGAAGGGAAAGGAGUACUACCCUAAGAUGGAUGGUCCAAUGGCUGUGAGCAAGGAUACACGUACGAAGAAGAAUGCUACCCAUAAUGGGCAACUAUCCAUUACGAGUACUAUCAAUAUCGAAUUUAAUGGCAAUCAUCAACCGAGAGAGCCACGAAAAGAACUCAACACGAUCGUCAGACGGAGUUUCCGGAGGAAUGGCGACGAAUGGCGUGCCGAUAGUAGGAGGUUCACCGAAAGAAGGGGGAAAAAGACGGUACGAUUUUACGGUGGGACCAAUAUUGGGAGACAUCAGGAGGAUGAUUGGUCAUGGGAAGUUGCCGAUCAUUGUCGGCAAGGUAGUCAGGACAGCGCAACUAAAGAUUCCGGUAUAGACACGUCAAGCACCUUCACGAGCAGUGAAGAAAGCAACAGGGGCGAGUUGCCCAAGCAUCCUUUGUCCUGGCAAGUAAGCAGAGACGGUCAGAAAGUAAUCGGACACAUGGUCUUACGAAAGUCCUUGGGUUCUGAAACCGGUACAAGUAUACUCGGUCUCAAGGUCGUCGGUGGGAUACUAUUAGAGGAUGGUUCUAGGGGUGCAGUUAUCGAAAAAGUCAAGAAGGGUAGUACAGCAGAUGUUGAUGGUCACUUAAGACCCGGUGACGAGGUACUCGAAUGGAAUAACAGAUCUCUUCAGGGUAGGAGCUUCAAGGACGUAUACGAAAUUAUCGCGGAAUCGAGACAGGAGUCUCAAGUUGAAUUGAUAGUUUCGCGAAAUUUAUCGGCUGCUUUGGCACCUAGUACUACGACAAUGACGACUUCGACGAUUAUGGUAGGACAACAACAGCAACAACAAAAACAAUUGCAACAACAACAAUUACAUCAACAAAGAUUACCGGUUACGUCGAUGUCCGUCCCGUCCAGACGAAUUACUUCGCAAACCCAAUGGAGAACAAAACAGGACUCCAUUUCCAGUCCUCAACAACCACAUCAUAAAGAUUAUAUGAUUUUUCGCAUUCCAGGUCUUAAGAAAUGUAUUCUAUGGGAGUUGUACGACGCGAGGCGCGAGAAACCGUCGGUUUUAGUGACGUCACCUGGUUCACCGGACCUAAACGCUCAAGGACGUGUCAGGCAUGGACGUAGAGCAACGACAGGAAACGUCAACGUCGGUGGUGAUCUUCAAGUGAAGUUAGCCUUCGAUCCUGUAGCACUUCAACUAUUGGUCACUGUCAUUUGCGCAUCGGCUCUUAGCCCACGUCCUGAUGGUCAACCGAGAAAUCCUUACGCCAAGAUCUUCCUACUUCCUGAUAGAAGCGAGAAGUCAAAGAGACGAACGAAAACAUUGGCGAACACGAACGAUCCUAAAUGGAAUCAGACAUUCGUUUACAACGGGAUAAGAAGUUCGGAGCUUAGAAAGAGGGCAUUGGAGAUAACAGUUUGGGAUUACGGGAGGUACGACGCGAAUGAUUUUCUCGGUGAGGUCGUCAUAGAAUUGGCUGUUGCACCAUUGGACGACGAAAUAGAAUGGCAUCCAUUGACGAUACACGCGGAACAUCGGCAUUAUCAGGAGGCCGAGGAUAUGGUGAUAACUCCGGUGGAUUGCCAUCUUAGCCCGCCGUCGACAACAUCGAGAUUAAGCGAUUCCGACACUUCGGAGUGCGACAUCACGGAUUGCGACGUCUCCAGGGAACAGAGACGAACGGCUGACGGUGCCAGCAUAAGUAGUAUCGGCAGUUCCUCCAGGUUUCAUAAUAUGCCGUCAAAUUAUAAGCGCCACUAUUCUAGCCCCCCGCCGGAAAGAGAGCUGUGUGUCGAUGGUGAACAUCGGAGUCGAAGGGACAUGUCACCUCAAGGUCGUAAAAGAGCUGCCCUUAUGGUGUCCCGUGAUCAUCCCGCGUCCAUCUCUGGCUAUCAAACUUAUCGCAAGGACGAUAUUCAUCGUGGAAUGAUGGGUCACAGAUCUCACAGCGCGGCACCAAUGGACUCACCUAGCGUACGUUACCGUGGCCGAUCCCAAAGUCCCACCGGUCAUCGUUCUUUAUCUCCACCCGAACACAGAUCCAUGCCUUAUUCGCACAGUUACAUGCCGAGAUUCGGUUCUAGAUCGGCAACAGCCACACCUACCGGUUCGCCAAAGAAGCGUCAGCUUCCACAAAUCCCAGCAGCCUUGAAGGACAGAGUAACGCACGAUUUUGAAGAUAGAGCAAAGUUUAUGAGGCAUCGUAAUAGACCAGGACACACAACUUAUAGGAGUACAGGAAUGGGAGGCUGGGAAAGACACUACAGUGGUCUUUCAGAUUCGGAUCUACCAUCGAUGGGACAUGAUCCUUUAUCGUUACCGCACAGUAAUGCUCACAGACUGCACAGACCACGAAGGGGGCAUUUAAGUCCGGACAAAGAUGUGCUUGGUGACCUUGGGGACUCCGACAUGGAGAGCAUAGCAUCAGUAACGAGCAGUGCCUUCAGUACGCAAUCGGAACGACCACGUGGAUCGAGGGGAUUAAUUCUCUUUGAUUCCCAAACCGCUACCUCCGACACUGCUAAAAACUACCACCCACGGGCCGACGAUCAUCAACACGAAAACCCACGUACGAUCGCGAAACCGACAUCGACGCAAUACCACCAACAACAAUAUCAACAACAACAACAACAACAACAACAUCAACAUCAACAACAUCAACAACUACAACAACAUCAACAACAUCAACAACAUCAACCACAUCAUCGACAUCAUCAACAUCGUCAAACGAACCACGAACCACGAUCGUCGUCGUCGUCGUCGCCGCCGCCGCCGCCGCCACUCCCGCACCCGCACCCGCACCCGCCGCCGUCGUUGUCGUCGUCGUCGUCGUGUCAAUGCUGCGCCCAUCCUCCUCCCUUCAUUCACAAUAAUAAUACCGUUGACUACGUCGCCGCUAACAAUUACUAUCCCUCUAAUCGUCGCCACGACCACGACAAUGAUUUCCCAAUGACUUCCCAUCGACGUACCGCCCACCAUCGGAAAAUAUUAACUUAUCACGACGCCGGCGGCGACGCCGACGGUACCGUUAACGUCAUCAUCGACGAUGGUGACGUUCUCGACGGUGAUGUUGUUGAUCAUCGACGACGACGUUACGACGACGACGACCUGCGGGAUCGUCGCUCCUCCUCCAUGCCCGAAAGCAGCGAGUACUCCGGCCAGUCGGGCUCGUACGAAAAACCAACGAGGCAUCAGACGACCGACAAUGGCCACGACGAACAACAUACAGGAAAACGGGGCCAAUUUAUUAGGAGUCUCAGUAACACGGACGCGCCGCCCGAUGAGAAAGUUGAUGGGAGUUUGAGCGACACGGCCGUCAGUCACGUGGAUGAUGCCUCGAGGAGGGAUCGUAAGAGUUCACCGGGUAGUAAAAGUGGAAGCGGAAGUAGCAGCGGCGGCGGAAGCGCCGUACAGUAUCAGACCGGGCUUGGAAAGAAGAGUAACAGCACGAGUCAGCUAUCCGCGACAGCUGGUCACCCAGUCUGCGAUUGGCAUCGGAGACCGGGCAGCUGAGAGACUUCAUCGAGGAUCUUGGGCCUGCACAAGUAGUUGGAAGACAAGCGUUAGGUGCUGGUCAUCUUGGUGCCAUACAACUAUCUCUUAGCAAUACCAAAGGUUAUCUCGAAGUUGAGAUAAUUCGUGCCAAAGAUCUUAAAUCGAAAAUUGGAAGCAAAGCCAUUCCAGCUUCUUACGUAAAGGUUUAUCUGAUGAAUGGGAAGAAAUGUAUA
RNAcentral lists this unclassified non-coding RNA (7538 nucleotides) under Polistes canadensis. RNAcentral describes it as "regulating synaptic membrane exocytosis protein 2, transcript variant X7". Lineage: Eukaryota; Metazoa; Arthropoda; Insecta; Hymenoptera; Vespidae. The record is from RNAcentral.